GACGAACGCUGGCGGCGUGCUUAACACAUGCAAGUCGAACGGAAAGGCCCUGCUUUUGUGGGGUGCUCGAGUGGCGAACGGGUGAGUAACACGUGAGUAACCUGCCCUUGACUUUGGGAUAACUUCAGGAAACUGGGGCUAAUACAGGAUAUGAGCUCCUGCUGCAUGGUGGGGGUUGGAAAGGUUCGGCGGUUGGGGAUGGACUGCCGGCUUCCUAGCUUGUUGGUGGGGGAGUGGCUUACCAAGACUUUGACGGGUAGUCGGCCUGAGAGGGUGACCGGCCACAUUGGGACUGAGAUACGGCCCAGACUCCUACGGGAGGCAGCAGUGGGGAAUAUUGCACAAUGGGCGGAAGCCUGAUGCAGCAACGCCGCGUGCGGGAUGACGGCCUUCGGGUUGUAAACCGCUUUCGCCUGUGACGAAGCGUGAGUGACGGUAAUGGGUAAAGAAGCACCGGCUAACUACGUG
Molecule: ribosomal RNA, 468 nt
Filed under: uncultured bacterium
Lineage: Bacteria
Description: partial 16S ribosomal RNA
Rfam family: Bacterial small subunit ribosomal RNA
Source: RNAcentral